UGGGGAAUAUUGCACAAUGGGGGAAACCCUGAUGCAGCGACGCCGCGUGAACGAAGAAGGUAUUCGUAUCGUAAAGUUCUGUCCUAUGGGAAGAUAAUGACAGUACCAUAGAAGAAAGCUCCGGCUAAAUACGUGCCAGCAGCCGCGGUAAUACGUAUGGAGCGAGCGUUGUCCGGAAUUAUUGGGCGUAAAGGGUACGCAGGCGGUUUAAUAAGUCGAAUGUUAAAGAUCAGGGCUCAACCCCGCAAAGCAUUGGAAACUGAUAAACUUGAGUAGUGGAGAGGAAAGUGGAAUUCCUAGUGUAGUGGUGAAAUACGUAGAUAUUAGGAGGAAUACCAGUAGCGAAGGCGACUUUCUGGACACAAACUGACGCUGAGGUACGAAAGCGUGGGGAGCAAACAGG
RNAcentral lists this ribosomal RNA (403 nucleotides) under bacterium. Its description in RNAcentral is "partial 16S ribosomal RNA". It matches the Rfam family "Bacterial small subunit ribosomal RNA", at positions 355 to 776 of the family's 1533-position model. The record is from RNAcentral.